RNAcentral lists this microRNA (23 nucleotides) under Magallana gigas (Pacific oyster). RNAcentral describes it as "Mgi-Mir-190_5p (mature (guide))". The record is from RNAcentral. RNAcentral also lists the same sequence under 1 other name. Lineage: Eukaryota; Metazoa; Mollusca; Bivalvia; Ostreida; Ostreidae.
AGAUAUGUUUGAUAUAUUUGGUG